ACAAAAUGAUGAUCUUCUACUUCAUUGGUCCGUGUUUCUGAUGCAAAAAUGAAGCUAAUGAAGGUCUGAUUAA
Protopterus annectens (West African lungfish) is the source of this 73-nucleotide small nucleolar RNA. RefSeq annotates it as small nucleolar RNA SNORD18. The record is from RefSeq and is a predicted model, not a curated record. NCBI's taxonomy places the organism in Eukaryota, Metazoa, Chordata, Ceratodontiformes, Protopteridae. The transcript has a single exon.